Molecule: ribosomal RNA, 253 nt
Filed under: uncultured bacterium
Lineage: Bacteria
Description: partial 16S ribosomal RNA
Rfam family: Bacterial small subunit ribosomal RNA
Source: RNAcentral
UACAGAGGGUGCGAGCGUUAAUCGGAAUUACUGGGCGUAAAGCGCACGUAGUCGGCUUUGCAAGUCGGGUGUGAAAUCCCCGGGCUCAACCUGGGAACUGCAUCCGAGACUGCAUUGCUAGAGUAUGGGAGAGGGAAGCGGAAUUUCUGGUGUAGCAGUGAAAUGCGUAGAUAUCAGAAGGAACAUCAGUGGCGAAGGCGGCUUCCUGGACCAAUACUGACGAUCAGGUGCGAAAGCGUGGGGAGCAAACGGG